Molecule: long non-coding RNA, 5101 nt
Organism: Dermochelys coriacea (leatherback sea turtle)
Lineage: Eukaryota; Metazoa; Chordata; Testudines; Dermochelyidae
Exons: 2
Source: RefSeq, a predicted model, not a curated record
UGAACCUAACAGAAAAAUAAAUUCUAUGAAACAUUUAAAAUGCCAUGUUCAGCUAUGAUCUUGCACCUCACUAGCAUUAGCAUACACUACUGCUGGUACAUCUGGCAGUAGCUGUUUAUUAUGCUGGAAACUGAGAAACUGCCAUUAUUGAGAUAUUUCAGAAGUCUCAUCGAAUCAUUUGGGUUGGAAGGGAUUGUUAGUGGGUCAUCUAGUCAACCUCCCAUUAUUAUGCUUGGAUUAAUUCAGUUAUUCCAAAACCAUCCCUAAUGUCUAGCCACCCUUGAAUAGUUCCAGUUUCAUAACCCCAAUCUUGGCAACGCAUUUUACUGUCUAACUUUUCCGCCAAUUAUAUAGUUUCUCUUAAUUUUCAGACUGAAUUUUCACUUCUGCAGAUUAAACCUAUUAAUAGUCUGACUCUUGACCCAACAGUAAUCGUUGAUCCUUGACCUCUUUAGACUAUCCCUCCCUGUACGUACAUGUAGACAAGUUUUAAAUUAAUCUCCUUUUCUCUAGGCUGAAUAAAUCUUACAGUAUUUUCCAAACCUUUUAUCUGCCCUCUUUUGAAUUUGUUUCACUUGGGUCUGUUUUUUGAAGACAUGAUGCCCCAAACUGAACUCAGUGCUCCAAUUAAGGCCUAACAAUGCUAAACAGAGUGGAAUAACUACUUCAUUUAAGGUAAAUUUAAAAUAUUUUCUAUGUGUUUAAACUACAAAGUUAAUUCGUGUUUGUUCUGUCUGAAUGUAUGCUUUCCAAUAUAAAGUGUUCCCAUUUCAGUUCACAAUACUAUGACAAAAUGAAGUAGCAGCCAAAAUGAUUAAUGAGAAAGUGUUAGCUUAACAUGCUAAUUGUUCUUUUUAAGGAGACUAAGUAGCCCUGCAAAGAAAUACUUACAAUAUAUACUUGAUCAGAAACUGUCAUCAUGAAGAAUAUCAUUGUAUUUAUAAUAGUAAUGGCUGAGAAGGUCCAGAAUCCCUAUUUUCACACACUUUCAGACACACAACUUUCCAAACAAAUUACCCUUUGAGCUAGAAUUUCUCUACUUGACCUCAGACCAAAAGUGUGUGUGUGUGUGUGUGUGUGUUUGUGUGUGUGUAAGAUGGUCUUUUAGCAAUGAAUCAAGUGACUCUCUAAAUAAAGAUGAAAAAACUUUCAAAUUUGUCAAUAACUUAAGGCCCUGAUUCUGCAAAAAGUUAACAAGGUGCUUAAGUGUAUACACCAUUAACUUCAAUCGGAGCAAAGUUAGGCUAAAAGAGCACUUUUUGAAAAUCCAACUUUAUAACAAUGCAGUGUGUGUCUGUAAUUGGAGCAUCGCACAUUGAAAUACAUAGCUGUAUUUAUUUGAAUGAUUAUGCAUUCAAAUAAAUGCAAGUAGCAUUAAGGUAAUAGUCUGUACAGUGAGGCCAGAGCUUGAGGACUGUGAUGUCACCAGAAACUUAGACUGUAUUAAAGUACUGGUUUCCUAAUCGAUACUGUCUUCUAUUAUUACAUGGAUCCAUUAAGAAAAUUCUCUCCUACUUCCUGUUCUCUAACUUCCACUUUAGAGAGAGAGAACAACAGAUGCCUGAAAAAUCUACCCUUCAUAAAACAACCCAGGAAAUGAAAAGUGAAAGCAAGUAAGAGAUAAGUAUCACAAUCAGUUGCGCCCAGCAAAGAGGCGGGAUGUAUAGCUGGUGUGUGAGAAAUGCAGGCAAAACAGAUUGUGUCCAAGUGCCAGAUCUGUACAAGCUGCUCACAUUCCACGUGAGGGCUGAGACAGAUGGUCACAUUAAGAGAAUCGUCUCAACCACAAACAAGCUGAGGCAACUGAGUGUGCAAACACAAGUUGUGUAUCUAAAAAACAGGUGGGCCCCACAAGUCCUAAUUGACAAGUCAAAAACAGGAGGAUUGAUUUCUCUGAACCCAACAUGAAGAGAAAAUACCUUAUUUGCAUAAAAUGACCCUGCACUAACAAGACCUGAUUGUUUAGGGCAUAGCACAAUAGAUGGACUAUCUGACUCCUGCACACAGAUAACAGAUCAACACAGAUGGUUGUAAACAAGACACUGAUCUUAUUAAUGUCUGCUGUAAGAGCAAAGACAAAUGAGUAUCUUCAGGGUUAUUGUCAGUCUAUACUGAGGACUAGUCCCUUAUUGUGGGGUCCCUGAUUUUUCUUAGCUGGCUUCGUUCAGUCACUAGCAAUUCAUAUAUGUCAAUUUUCACAUAAGGCAAUGAAGGUGAGGUGCAACUUCACACCAAUAUAAAGGAAGGAUUCAUUUGAGAAUUCCUGUCUUUUACUGACUCUGAUAAUUAUGAUAUUUAGCUCUUGUACAGCACUUUUCAUCCAUAGAUCUCAAAGCACUUUAUAAAAGGAUGUCAGUAGUAUUAUCCCUAUUUUACAGGUGGGGAAAUUGAGGCACAGAAAAGGGAAGUGACUUGCCUAAGGUCACCCAGCAUGCAGUUGCAGAGCUAGCAAUAGAACCCAGGUCUCCUAAGACCCAGUCCAAUGCUUUAUUCAUUAGGCCAUGUUAAAUGUACAAUUAUAUUGUAAAAGUUGAUAGGGCCAAAUGUUAGCCUACUCUAUUUAUUUGUUUAGCAGAUGUUUAAUAUUUAAUGUUACAAUCUCAAAUAAAAUGCUUCCAGCACAGUAACCCUAUAAUAAUAAAUCAAUGCAUACACAUGACUGAAGCAGGGAAAUAUCAAUUAAAAAAAUCAAUUUCAGUUUCAAGUUUUUCAGGGGUCAUUCAAGAACUUUUUUAAUUAUGAAAAAUACCCUCAUUAAGGGCUAUACAAACCAUUUCAGUGCAUGUCAGCCAUUACCUUCUACAAAGCUAACAUUUUAAUAUAAAUUUAUAUUUACACUGUUAAGUUUGGAACAUUUUCUAGACAAGCAGCUAUAUUUUCUUUCACAUCUUGAGUGUAUAAAAGAGACUAUGGGUGCAAUUUACAGGCAAGUGAAAUUCAGAGAAAAGCUGAAUAAAUCAGCAUUACCUGAUCAUUUCAGUGUUUCUGCUCAAAACUUCUUCCACAAUAAAUGUGCCCUUGCACACUGUCAAACCCCUUACACACUGAAAAGCAAUUUCCUUAAAAUGACUGAGAAGUGCACUAGUAUGGCACAUUUAUCUAAUACCAAAAAAAUCUUCGUAGUGAAAAUAGUAUUUCAGGGCAGAAGGAGCCCAUGUAGCCUGGAUAAUGUCUAUCCAGCUGUAUGUGCCUGUCUAGGCCUUGUCUUUAAUAAGUUCCUGACUGCAGCUCUUAAAACAACCUUUGGUAAUUCAUGCUACACUGAGCUCUUAGGUCCUGAUUCCCCUAACUAUACAGCUAAUUUGCAAAUGCACAUGGACAGACUCUCAGCAAGCCAGCUCCAUGUGCAAGUACUAGAUUUGCACGAAUUGCACAUGUAUGUUUAUUAAAGUCAGAGUCCUAGUAUUUGCUUUUUUCUUAAAUUUUUGACUCGCGCUUGUUACCUUCCCAAAUAAUACUCAAUCUCUGACUCCCGCAAAAUUGUAUACCUCUCAAAUAGACCCCAUGUGAACCUUCUAAUUACACUCAAUUUAUGUAACUUUUGUCAUGUUGCUGGUUUUGGACAUAUCCUAUCCUACCCCCCAGUCUAUUACUCCCAGGGCCCUCAUUAACUAUGUUUGGACAAGUCCAGUUAGAUAACAUGUUAGUAACAGAACGUCCAGUAAUUGCUUUUUGUACUUUUCAGGAUUCUGAAGGGGAGGUUGGAUCUGGACAGCCCAUGCCCAACAAGCACCCUACCCAGACCUUGACAAGUCUCUUUAUGUUGUUAAAUGUCAUGUUUUUGUUUUCCCGCUGUAAGUAUUUAAUGUGAUUUUAGCAUUAGCUUGGGGGAAGGAGGAAAAGACCAAUUUCUCCUCCCUAUUCAAAUGUCUUUUUAAAAGCUUUAAUGCGACAACUGAAGGAUCAAGGGAAUGUUCAUUGAGUGUGGCACCUUCCACCUCCAACUUCAGAUAGUAGUCAUAGAUUACCACCAUCUGAUAGCUGUUUAGUGGUUUAAGUGCAACUCUUGCUAGAGAGAUGUCCACAUCACAAAAAAACUCCACCUUAGUUGGUGGUCCUUUCAGCCCUUUACUUCUCUGCCAAGACUAUCAAACCAACUAUUUUGUCCCAAAAGAUCUGUCCAGGUCAGAGUGCAGGACUGUUGGCAGGCAGUGCUGGGAAGUCUGCACUGCUGCUACUUGUGCUGUACCUAUUCUGAAACAGAGGACUUUGAUCUCCCAGGCUGUCAGUCUACCAUUUUCCACAAGCAGUAAUUUCACAGGAAAUAACACUUUAAUAAGCAAUUUGAACAACUGCAUAGUAGAUAUGUAGUAAUAGCUCAGUGAGCAUUGUUGUAGGUCCACAGGCAUCAGCUAGUGAGCACCCAAUUUCAGUAGAACCCUGAACAUUAUCCAGUGGAGGCCAAAAUGCAAAUGCCUGCAGUUUAAGCAAAUCCCAUAGCAAAAUGUAAUCAUUUUUCCAGCUACCUGCAGGGUACGUGAAUGUGUAUAUUGCUUUAAGUGUAAGAGAUUGUUUGGUGUUUGUGAGGAUGCAACUACACUCAGUGAUGCUAAGGAGUACACUAAGUACAGAUUGUAAACAGUUUAGGCUCUAAAUAUGAAUUACUUAAAUCAGAUAAAGAAUAUUUUCCAGAUUUUGAAUAGAGACUUUACAAAUAAUAAAACAGGUGCUCACUCUUCGAACUCCCAGUGAACAUUCAGCUAGAAUACAAAGAUCUGACUUCAAUGAUCCUAGUCAUAUUAAUUUCCUUAGAAGCAGAGGAAAAAGGGUAAAUUAUAAAUUUGUCACACUAAAGAACAAAUAUUCCUCCUUUUGCCAAAGCUUCUAAGAUACUGUUAUAAAUAGAUGAAGUGAGCUGUAGCUCACGAAAGCUUAUGCUCUAAUAAAUUUGUUAGUCUCUAAGGUGCCACAAGUACUCCUUUUCUUUUUGCGAAUACAGACUAACACGGCUGCUACUCUGAAACCUGUUAUAAAUAGUGGAGGGUAAAACAUUAACCCUUUCGAAGUCCUUAAGAAUGUCUCUUUAUAAGUCAAUAUACUGUUUGGAAGCUUCUGUUAUGGGCUGUUUAGAUUUUAUGAGAUAAACAAAAUGUUAAUUUGG